Molecule: long non-coding RNA, 18712 nt
Filed under: Manihot esculenta (cassava)
Lineage: Eukaryota; Viridiplantae; Streptophyta; Magnoliopsida; Malpighiales; Euphorbiaceae
Description: long non-coding RNA (MESC_LNC001092)
Source: RNAcentral
UCGAAACUUGGUUCUAUGAAACUCGUUUCUCAGUUGUCAAGCUGCCACUGCUGCUCCCACCCACAUGGUUUGGUUCCCUUACUCUGGCUGCCAAAGCAAGAACUUCAGGUGACAUGUCCCAGCUUCCACUUUUUCUUCCCUAGCUAGAUCUUCUUGGAUAUAUUCCACCAUGGUCCCCUUCCUCCACUGCGGUCCUCACUUCCGGGGAUAAUUCACUUAAAUUACCAUCCUUUACAUUCAAGCGAUAAUUGUUUGUGACUUGCCCCUCAACAUUAUCUACCAUAGCACCCAUAUCUCCCCACACAGUUUUCCUGCCUAUUUCUAUGUCAUCCACAGCUUUUCCCAUAUUAGGACUCAUGAAACCUCCACCAAUUGGCCGACUUGGUAAUGCAGGCUCUCUUGGCACCUUUGCCCUGAAAUUGUUCUUGGACAAAGGAAUAGCGCAGCAAAAGAUUUCUUUAAAGUUCUCAACCACACCUUUAUUAUAAGGAUUUGCCCUCCUAUCAUAGCGGUAUCUAAAAUUCUAAAAAGUAGUCUGAAAAGCAGAAAAGAAACAUACAGUAAACAUUAAACUUUAAUCAACAUCUUAAAACAGACACGUGAAUUAAAUCACAGGAUGGAUUUUUCUUAAAUUAAGGAAAAUGAGUUUCUUACUUGAUUAGUACUGAUGAGAUAUAAAUGGAAGGCAGUAAGGCCACCGACAAACCACAUUGAUAUGAAAGUGUAACUAUUAGCACAAUGGAGGCAAGGGUUUUGAUCAUUGCUUUCAAAAUUGAUGUGUGCUCAGAAGACAUGAUCCUCCUAAUGUAGACCCAGCAGAACACAAAAACAUAUAUACAAAGAAGGGUUGUUGAGAAGACAAACAUGAAGAAUAAUCGAUAAUUUCUCUGCAUCAGAAAAUUUUUCUUUAGACACAUUAUCCACAAAUUAACAAGGAAAGAUAUUGGGUGACAAACAAAUUUACUGCAACCAUUGUCAACACCAACACUUAUUUAUUAACCCCAUACCAGAAACAUGUUUCUGAUAAUAUGUGAACAAAGUCUCUAUAAUAUAUUAAUAUUUGAUCCAGUUUUUAAACAUCUAUUGGUCACACGUUGUGGAUAAUAUUUGAGACCAAAUCAAUCAAGCUUGUGUCCAUGCAAUUAUCAUCUUCUGUUUGGAACAGAAAAGAGUGAAAUUCAUCAAGAAUGAUGAAAAAGAAGAGAAGAAAAGACACAACCCAAAUUGAUACCUCACACUCAGAGGAUAAUAUUAUUUAGUACUAGUCACUAAACAUUGAGCUUGGCAAUAGUAAACAACUCUAAACAAGGGAUCACUUACCAGCCCAAUACAUUGUCCAACCCAAGGAGAGUGAUGGUCAAAUCGUUCUACGCAGUUAUUGCAUAUUGAACAGUGUGAACAACGAGGAGGUCUGUAAAGCAUGUAAGUGUCACAAUACUUGAUCUUCACAAUUGCUCCAUUGACCUCUACCUCCUUAAUGCAUGGCAAAUGUAACUGUGGAGUUUGUCCAGCACCAACAUCUGCAGUUCCAUCAAAGCCUUCUGGUUCUAGAGGAUGUGCAUUGGUCAGGGUCAUAGAGUUUCAGGGACCAAAACUGUAAUUUUCAAUAUUGGAAUUCUCAUGAAAUAAUAUUGGGAUAAAUUAGUAGAAAUUAGUAGUAAGAAAAGAGCCGUGUCAGUUUCUUGUAAUUCCCUUUAGAUUAUUUAUUUAGGAGGGUGUGUCAUCUGAGACAUAUUGAUGUCUCCUCCUGUCACAAGUCAAGUUGUUCCUAAGGCUCUUUAGGGGGGAGUGACUAGUUGGCCACCAGCAAGGGCUGGGCCCGACUGGCCACCGUAGGCUUGUUGAGUCCCUAGACUGUGCCUUCUCUUCUUGCAGGCGUUCCCCCUGUCUGCAAGUUGGGAAAGGAUCGUUGCCAUGAUUGUGUAAUGACUAUUUUGCCCCUGGAAUAAAAUAAGUAGCCCAUUCAAUAAAUCUUUAUGCCUGAUUGCUUGUUGAUGUGCUUGUAUGGCUAUAAUUCUCUGAUCUUGAUAUUUUCACAUGAUAACUGUGGCCUUCCCCAUUUUGUGGGAAUAGGGCAGGAGGUCCUAACCUUUACGUUCCUUUGUCCAGGUGAACGCGUAGAGAAUUUGGUGGACUUGGCUUGAAAAGAGUUCAAACCAAGUGCCACACGGUUCCAGGCCAGUAUUAAAAUCUGAAACCGUGACAUUUGGUAUCAGAGCCUGAACGAUCGGGAGUAGUGUGGUAGUAUGACGAAAUCUAGCCCACGUAUCGAUGCCCUUGAGAGAAGGGUUGAGAACAUUGUUGCCCUAUUGAGGGACUAUGCCACCCAAGAGGGGAUGGUAUUGGAGUUUGAUACUGCUUAUAAGCGCAUUGAGGCGCUAGACAAAGAAAAUGAACGGCGAUUGGCUAAGAGGGCCAAAUCGCUCAGAGGUGAGGGUGAGCCAAUAGAGCUUGAGGCCACCCAAGAUCCUUCUCAAGCGAAGGACACCCGGUGGGGUGAUCUGGAGUCUAAGAUGGUAGAAUGGGAGGCCGUGGCCUCCCAAGUGUGGGGCAUAAUGGAAAGUCUCAAAUCUGUUUCUGAUGCUCAUACCUCUUUGGUAGGAGCUGUUGAAGAGAUUAGAGAUGGUGCUAAAGAGACCAUCGGUGCGGUCAGUGAUAAUGUCAAAGAGAUGAUGGACACAUUCCAAGAUAAACUGGAAGAGCUUGAUGCGAGGGUGAACACAAUUAUGAAGGUUACAGGGAGCAAUGGCAUGAAAGCUUGUGGGGCAGAGGGGACGAAGGUCCCGGAGCCGAAAGCUUUCGGCGGAGCAAGGGAUGCAAAAGAAGUAGACAAUUUUCUUUUUGACAUGGAGUUGUUCUUCAGAGUUCCCAAGCGAGAGUCCGAGGAGGACAAGCUGUUGAUCAUACCCUUAUACUUGGUUGACGAUGCUAAGUUGUGGUGGCAUAAUAAAAUAGUGAGAGCGGGGCCGGGAGGAAACCAAGUCACAUCAUGGGACAUGUUCACCAAGGAGUUGAGAGCUCAAUUUUAUCCUGAGAAUGUGGCAUAUGACGCACGGUGCAAGUUGGGAGAGCUACAGCAAACAGGUUCGGUUCGGGAGUACGUGAGGGAUUUCUCACGCCUCAUGCUAAACAUAGAGAACAUGCAGGAGGAGGAUCGGUUUUACAACUUUAUGAAAGGGUUGAAACCUUGGGCUAAGAAUGAAUUAAUGAGACGAAAAGUGACAGAUGUCGAUACAGCCAUAGCUGCGGCUGAGGGCCUAGAGGAUUAUUCCAACUCGGCUGGUAAGCGAAAGAGCAAUCCUACGGUGGGGCAAGACCCUCGCCCUAACAAGUGGGCGAAGGCCCAAAAUGGGGGAGCAAACCGAUGGAAUCACACUACUGGAGGGGUAGAAAGAAGAAAUUGGAAUAGUAGUUUGAUCUCAAAACCUUAUUUUUAAGGAAGGGAAUUGAGGAAACAGUUGGAUGAGUUACUGGAAGCUGGGUUUAUACGACCAGCAAAAGCGCCCUUUGGGGCUCCUGUGCUUUUUCAAAAGAAACAAGAUGGAAGCCUAAGGUUGUGCGUGGAUUAUCGGGCUUUGAAUAAGGUGACAGUACGUAAUAAGUAUCCUAUCCCUUUGAUAGCAGAUUUGUUUGACCAAUUGGGCCAGGCAAAGUUCUUUACCAAGUUGGAUCUUCGAUCAGGUUAUCAUCAGGUUCGAAUUAAAGAGGGGGACGAGCCCAAAACAACAUGUGUGACACGGUAUAGUGCUUUUGAGUUUCUAAUUAUGCCUUUUGGACUAACAAAUGCUCCUGCUACUUUUUGCACUUUGAUGAACCAGGUUUUUCACGAAUAUCUUGACAAAUUUGUGGUGGUUUAUCUUGAUGAUAUUGUGGUAUAUAGCUCUUCGCUGAAAGAAUAUAGGGAGCAUCUUAGUUUGGUAUUCGAGAAAUUGAGGGAGAAUAAGCUCUUCGUCAAGAAAGAGAAAUGUGCGUUUGCUCAAACUAGAAUCAAGUUCUUGGGUCAUGUGGUCGAGCAGGGAAAAAUAAGCAUGGAUCAGGGUAAGGUAAAAGCCAUUCGGGAUUGGAAGGUACCUAGGGGUGUAACAGAGUUGAGAUCCUUCUUGGGAUUGGCAAACUAUUAUAGGCUAUUUGUGAGGGCAUAUUCCUAAAAGGUGUGUCCCCUCACGGAGCUCCUGAAGAAAGGAAACAAGUGGCAGUGGACGGACGAGUGCCAAACAGCUUUCGAUGAUGUGAAAAACACGAUGAUGGCUGAACCAGUAUUAGCUCUCCCUGACAUGAGUAAACAUUUUGAGGUGCAGACAGAUGCUUCCAACCUGGCGCUAGGGGGAGUACUCAUGCAAAGCGGACAUCCGGUAGCAUUUGAGAGUCGAAAGUUGAAGGAGGCAGAAGUUCGAUACACAGCCCAAGAAAAAGAGUUGUUAGUAGUGAUUCAUUGUCUAAGAACGUGGAGACAUUACUUAUUAGGGUCGAAGUUUGUAGUCAAGACAGACAACACGGGGGUCAGCCAUUUCUUUUCUCAACCGAGAUUAACACCUAAGCAAGCAAGGUGGCACGAAUGUUUAUCUGAGUUUGAUUUCCAGUUUGUGUACAACCCAGGAAGUUCUAAUAGGGUGGCCGAUGCUUUAAGCAGAAAACUUGAUAUAGCAACUCUGAAGCAGAUAGCUCAAUUGUCCUAGAGCGUAGCAAAGACAACGUUGAAAGAAAGGAUUCGGGAAGAGUUACAGAAGGAUCCCCAAGCCAUGGCCUUGAAGAAACUAGUGGACGACGGCAAAACUAGGCAAUUUUGGUUAGAAGCGGACUUGAUCAUGACAAGAGGGAACAGAGUCUAUGUUCCUAGAGCAGGGGGACUUAGAAGUUUGUUAUUAAGGGAAUGCCAUGACACUAGGUGGGAGGGCCAUUCAGGGUGGUAGCGUACUUUAGCGCUUCUGAAGCAGGGGUACUUCUGGCCGAGAAUGGCGAAUGACGUCCAAGAGUAUACAAAGACUUGUUUGGUUUGUCAACAGGAUAAGGCGGACAGACAGAAACCAGCAGGGUUGUUACAGCCAUUACCAGUGUCGAGUAGGCCAUGGGAAAGUGUUUCCAUUGAUUUUAUUGCUGGACUUCCACGAGUAGGAGAAUUUGAUCACAUUCUGGUGGUUGUCGAUAGGUUUUCCAAAUAUGCCACGUUCGUGCCGGUGUCAAAAUAUUGCUCGGCAGAGGAGAUUGCUAAAGUAUUUUUCAAGCAUGUUGUAAAAUACUGGGGAAUCCCAAAGAGCAUAAUUAGUGACCGCGAUGCAAGAUUUACAGGGUCAUUUUGGUUGGAGUUGUUCAAGCUGUUGGGUACCAACCUGGCGAUGUCCUCAAGUUACCACCCUCAGACGGACGGACAAACAGAGAGAGUUAAUGGAAUGUUGGAGGAGUACCUGCGGCACUUUGUUAGUGUCAGCCAGAAGAAUUGGGUUUCCCUUCUUGAUGUUGCUCAAUUUUGUUUUAAUUCUUUACAGAGCUCUACUACUAACAAAAGUCCUUUUGAGAUUGUGACAGGUCAACAACCGUUGGCACCUUAUAAUGUAGAUAGGCCUUAUUCAGGCCGCAAUCCGAAAGCAUUCCAAUUCGGUAAAGAGUGGAGACAAAAUGUGGAGCUUGCCCGCGCUCAGUUGGAGAAAGCUAGGAGUCAUAUGAAGAAAUGGGCAGAUGAGAACCGGCGCCCGCAGGAGUUCACAGUUGGUGACUUGGUGAUGGUGAAGUUAUUGCCAGAGCAGUUGAGAUUCCUCCGCAACUGUGACAAGAAAUUAGUCCGGAAGUAUGAAGGACCAAUACCAGUAGUCGCCAAGAUUGGCCCAGCCGCUUACAGGAUCGAACCUCCAAAGUGGAUGACAGUCCACCCAGUAUUUCAUGUCAGCAAAUUGAAGCCAUAUUAUGCUGAUGAGUCAAAUGCAAACCGCAACACGACACCACGACCAGCAGUAACCCGCGCACCACCUGUCAAUCAAGGAGUUGAAGAAAUCUUAGCGGAACGAGUCGUCAAGUCCACCAAGCAUCCACCACACAAAGAGUACCUUGUCAAAUGGAUCGGCCUUGGUGUUGAGGAAACCAGUUGGGAGAAGGAGUCAAGUCUGCAGGCAUAUGCACACAAGAUUGUGGAUUUUGUUAACGCCUAGUCGACGAGGACGUCGACCAUUUAAGUGGGGGAGUGUCAGGGUCAUAGAGUUUCAGGGACCAAAACUGUAAUUUUCCAAUAUUGGAAUUCUCAUGAAACAAUAUUGGGAUAAAUUAGUAGAAAUUAGUAGUAAGAAAAGAGCCGUGUCAGUUUCUUGUAAUUCCCUUUAGAUUAUUUAUUUAGGGGGUGUGUCAUCUGAGACAUAUUGAUGUCUCCUCCUGUCACAAGUCAAGUUGUUCCUAAGGCUCUUUAGGGGGAGUGACUAGUUGGCCACCAGCAAGGGCUGGACCCGACUGGCCACCGUAGGCUUGUUGAGUCCCUAGACUGUGCCUUCUCUCCUUGCAGGCGUUCCCCCCUGUCUGCAAGUUGGGAAAGAAUCGUUGCCAUGAUUGUGUAAUGACUAUUUUGCCCCUGGAAUAAAAUAAGUAGCCCAUUCAAUAAAUCUCUGUGCCUGAUUGCUUGUUGAUGUGCUUGUAUGGCUAUAAUUCUCUGAUCUUGAUAUUUUCACAUGAUAACUGUGGCCUUCCCCAUUUUUGUGGGAAUAGGGCAGGAGAUCCUAACCUUUAUGUUCCUUUGUCCAGGUGAACGCGUAGAGAAUUUGGCGGACUUGGCUUGAAAAGAGUUCAAACCAAGUGCCACACGGUUCCAGGCCAGUAUCAAAAUCUGAAACCGUGACACGUUGCGGGGAAUUAUGCCAGGAUCUCGUCCAAAGGUUAGGAGGAGAAGAACUAAAUCCUGAGACAUCAUACAUGUUAGAGUUCAAUUUAAUUGAAACUCAACACUAUCUUGCCUAUAAAAGACAUUGCAGAGUGCCUUGGGAACACUUUUGUUUCUUUUAACUUCUGGACAAGAUAACUAUUUUAAAGCAAUCAAUAUCAGAAAAUUAGGCCAAUAACUGCCUUCCAGCAGUGGCAAAAGCAGUUUUUGUGAUACCUUCUGCUGCAUUGCAACUUUGCCGAAAUCUGAACAAAAUACACACAAUCAUAGAGGUAGUCGGGUUUGGUUCAGAAUGUUUCAAGUGCUGCACUUUCACAUAUGUGCUUGAGUUGAAACUUGCUUGUAAAGGUGUGUAUUAUUCUGUUGUAUCCGAAAAUACAAACUGAAUUAACCAAAUUUCAUUAUUUAAGUAUAGGAUAGUUUGGUUUGAUUAAUAGAUCUUGAAUUUUUGGGUAUUGGUUAUUGAUCCAUUUACCUUUUGAAUUGUAACCGAAAUAACUGAAUUUUUUAUUUAUAAUCGUUUAUCGAUAAUCAUGAAUCUUUUUUUAAUUGAUGAUAUACAAUUAAUUUGGUAAUAUUAUGUAAUCAUACUUUUAUUAUCAAAUGACAUAAAUUUUAUUCCUCUUAUACAUGACACAGACAUCUAUUAUAAACAGAAAUACACAGUGCAUACGGGUGUGUGUAUUUAAAAGAAUGCAUAUAGUGCAAAUGCAUAACUAAUUAUUUUUCAUUAGCCUUAUUUCUUUUGGUGAGAAUAUAUGCAGCCAUAUCAUGCAUGCCAAUAACUGAAGAAAGUAAUAGUUGCAAAAUGCAUUACAAAUAUCCACAGCUCAAAAAGCACACCAAUCAGAAGAGCCUCUAACUGGGAAAAAAAGACUACCAUGGUUGACCAUAAAAUUGGUCCCAUGCUUAAAAUAUUUAAAGAGAGUGUUGCUAAGUUUUAGGCAAAUAAUGAUCUCAUCCCCUAAAAGGUUCACCCAUCUCAGAAGCACGCUUCAACACUUGGGCUAACUCCUGCAAACAAUACUCUUCCUCUAACACCACUCACAGAUCAUAACAAUUAGUUCAAUAACUUCCAUGUUCAUGUACACAGCUAGAUAUGGAAAUCUUUAGCCAAUCCCACUGCUGACCACCCAUUUAAAUUAUGCACUAAUUUCUGUAAGGGAAAUUUACAAAGGCUUUCCUCUUAAGGAGCACUGUACCCAACCCCUAAGAAUCUCUUUUCCUCUAUCUUUAUUGGGCUGAAUGUACUGAGCUGAAGAUGUGAUUGGUUCUCAGUGAACUUAAGCUGAUACACCAAUGUAACAACAGCCCUAUUCUGGAUCUAAUAAAAUUUCAUCCCAGUAUCAGGGAAGAUCUGGACAGCUGUCACAUGAACAGGCAAAUAAAAUCUCAUUGGAAAAUAGUGCAUGCUCUAGCAAUAGCCAGGCAAUCCUGCUGCUAUAUAGCAUGAGAAAAAGCAACUAUAAAGCGAAGUUUACAGAAAGUCAAAAGAUCUAAAGGGACCAUUCUACUUUGAGUUUUAUUAAAAAAUCCUUGCUGAUUUAGAGUUCACAUGAUCACAGACCUGCUCCUCAGAGCAACGUCUACUAAUUUUAUGUAUAAGAAAAAUCAUUAUGUGAUUUAAGGAUCUCAAAAAUUUUUUUUUUUAAAAAAAGAUGUAUUUAAACAAGAGAGAGAACUCACAUAUACAGUGAAUACAACAGCAACAGCCAUUAUUGAUAUUCCCAACUGAUCAGAAAAAUCAUCCAUCAGUUUUCUAGCGACAAAGAUGCAGAAAAUUUUUAAAAAUAAGAUUUCGUACAAGCUAUUAUUGGGAAUAACAUCUGUUCCAAUAGAUCAAGUUUUAAAAAAAUCAUAACGUUACACUAAAAAUAUCAAAAAUAUGAUGUCAGUGCCAAUACUUACAAAUAAUAACUAUCAGUUAUAUCUAAUAUUUAAACUAAGGUAGAUCCUUAAUUUAAGAUAUGGCUGAAAUUAGUGAUGGGUUUAUAGAGAAAAUAACUUUCCCAAAGUUUAGAUCUUUUAAGUAUGAAUAAUGUAAGCGCUUAGAUCUAUUUUGAUUGCCUUGCAUAUAUAAAAAUAAGUUAGGAUUUAUUAAUAAAGAGCAUAUUAUCUAAAGAAGAGCCACCUGAAUUUUAAAAAUGGAUUAAAGUUGAUAACAUAGUGAUAUCUUGAAAAUUGUCUCUACUCUUAUUUUAGUGUCCAAUAUAAGAGAAUUUAAGUUGAUUUGAUUAAAGGUUUAGUGAGUGCAGCAGGCUUAAUUCUAUCAAAUUAAGAGAAAAAUAAGUAAAGUCAAAUAUGAUAAACAAAAAGUAUUAAAAGAUUCAAUUGGUCAAUUUCUAUCUUUAUAGAAUUAGAUGAUUUUCACUUAAGAGUCCAAAAAGAUUUUCUUAAAAGUCCACAAAGAAGAAAAUGUCCUUUAUUAACUGAUUUCAGUUCUACCAAUUGUAUCAAACACAACAUGAACUGAAUACAUAAGCAACAUAUUAAUAAAAGUAUUAUAACUUUAUAUCAGUUGUAAUUGAUGAGAAGAAGCACAAGAGCUCUGAUGAAAUUAAGAGCUUCAACAUUGAGCUGCAUCUCCAGAAUUUUGCUCAUCUUCUAAUUUGUUGCAACCCUUCAAUGAAGUAUGGGACUCCAUGUAAGGGACAGCUUGCAAGUGAUUGCUUGUAUGUACUGCUCCUUCUACAGGAACAGGGCUAAUUGUUUCUUCAGGAGGGUUCCAUACGAGCAAGUGUUGACUCCACGAUGAGAAAAAUAGCUCGCCCUUCCUUGAAAAUCCUAAUGGCAGGGCCAUCUCCAAAUAUUCUGGGUGUGCUACAGUAAAUAAUUUAGUCCAAGACUCUUCAACUCCAUAUUCAAGCAAUACCCACAACUCCACAUGACGAUUAGUAGACAGAGACAAAACAACAUGCUCAUUCAAGCAAAGAAUUGUCCGCCAAAAAUAGCGAGAACUGAAAGCAUCUGGUAGAGCUGUUGUUUUAAUAACCUCAUUGCUCAAGUCGAAAGAAACAAUUAAGUCUCGACUAUGGUCUCUCUCUUUUGCGCACCAAUGAAAUGUACCAUUUGCACCCGUAUGAGCUCUAUGAUCAUAAUUAUACUCAGAGUCGCCAUUUUCGAACUUAUAACUAGGCAACUCCCAAGAAUUCAGAGAGACAUCAAGUUUUCUCCAAGUAUCAUCCCUCAGACUAUAGAUCUCCGCCAGGUAAUCACAUUGAUUAUCAUGAGUCAAAUACUCAAAAAUCCUGAGUACUUUGUAAUCACAUGUUGUGGAGUCAAAUCCAAAUUCUACAAUUUCCAGUGAAAAAGACUCAGAAGGAGGAUGUGAAAGAUUGGAUUGAGGUAGUAUCUUAGUUUCAGAAGUAGUUGGGUUCCAUAGAACAAUAUUACUCUCGUAGUUGUAAACAUCAUCCCAUAACCCAAGCAAAUACCCAAAGAAAUAUCCAUCACGGAGGCAAAUUACACCAUUACAGCAAGAACCCACGAUGUCAACGAAAGAGCAUUUUUCCAUUAUAUCAUGAGGAUAUGGAAUUUCUUGUGGGGGAGACAUGUCAAAUGUAUCAUUGCAAAGAAAAGAAAAAGCCAAAUAUUCAAACCUAUAAUCAUCAUAUUUGACAAGGAUUUGGGAAUUGGUUGUAGAAUCAGAACAAGAGAGUAGGUUUUUAUAUAUAAAAUUAGGAUCAGAAAAGAGAGCACACCAAGAUCUGCAAACGCACCUGAAUCUAACAACACUUCUAACGGGUAAUUUGAACAAGAUGUUGAACACCAAAUGCUUGGGAAAAUAAUCAACAGCCAUGGUAGAUAUUGGUUUUGUUGAUGAGAGUCCUAAGCAAAAUAGCUGAAAAAUUGAAGGACAGAGCACACAGAGGCUUGCACAUAAGAUCCCCAGUUUUGAGAGAGAGAGGAAGGAAUGGAGAGGAUGUUCGGAAAGGCGUAUGAAAUUGAAGAGGAGGGAGAUGAACUCUUAGCCACCACCACCGUGUUUGAUUCAAUUUCAAUUCCUAAAAUUUUGUGUAAUUUAAGUAGAAUUCAAUUCUACUUGUAUGGGAUUGGUUACAACUAACACUAAUUCCUUUAAAUUUUGAUGAAAUUUAAAAUGAAUUCAACAUGUUUUAUAAAUUAAAAUGCCCCUAAUCAAGUUUUUCCCCAAUUAUUUUUUAUUUUAUUAGUUAAUUAAAUAAAUAAUUGAAAAUUAAUAAAUUAUUAAAAAUAUCAAUAAUUACAAAAUAAAUAAUUAUACUUUUUUAAUUUAUAUUUUUAAUUGUAUUUUUAUUAUAUUAUAUUAGUAAACUUGUAGAUAAAAAUUGAAUAAUUUUUUAUUUUAUUUUAUAAUUAAUAUGAUAUUAAGUAAUAAAAUUUAUUUUAAUGUUUGAUGAGCUAUGGACUGUUAAAGAGUUUGAAUGGUGACAUAUAAAUUAAAUUGAAUUUAGUUAUAAAAUUAAUUAAAUUAUGUAUUAUGAUGAAUGAAAAUGAUUUUAAUUUAAAUAAAUUAUUGAACGGCUCUAACUUGGGAUUCGAAGAAAUUAAAGCCAUUGUCUUAUCAAAUUAGUAGAAAAUUAUAGUGAGACGGGAGCACAUCUGAUUGGUAUUAUGGCCAUUAGACUGACGCAAGAAAUAUAACUUCUUUGGUUAUACCCAUCCAUAUUCUAAUUGUCUAUGUGAUAGUACAAAAUAUGGUAUUUAUCAUUUUGGACAAGAUAAAAAUAUACUUGAUACAAUACAAGAUAGGUCUUGAAAGACGUUAAAAGUUUAUAUUAUAUUAAUAAUUUUAUAUAAGUUAUUGUAGAUAGAAUUUUUAAAAAAUUAUAACAUUACAAUAACACUGACAAAAGUAUAGUAUGUACGAUAAUCGAUUAUUAUAUGAUAUUUUUAACAUUUUAAAUAUAUUCAUAGAUUUUAUUUUUUAUGUAUGUUUGAAAAUAGUAAAAUUACUUUUAUGUGGUGCAUAUAUCAUGAUAUUUUUAUUCAUAUUUUUAAAAUUGAGUAUUAAUAUGUUUGAUUUUGAGAGUUGGUCAUAAAUUAUUUAAGUCAUUAAAGUGAAUCAACUAUCACAAACAAAACAAAAUAAAACAAAUGAAAAUAAAUUUUUAAUUUUGAGAAUCGAAAAAUACUAAAAUAUUAGUAUACAUAUAAAAUUUUAUUUGUGGUUGAUUUGAAGAAAAAUUAAAAUUCAAUAUUAAUUGGAUUCAAUAGAAUUGGUGGUUGAUUUGAAGAAAAAUUAAAAUUCAAUAUUAAUUGGAUUCAAUAAAAUUGGUUAUAAUUAAGAUUAAUUCCUUUAAAUUUUGAUGAAAUUUGAAAUGAAUUCCAUACUAUUUACAUAAUAAUGUUUUAUUAAUUAAUUAAAGUAAUAAUUAAAAAUUAAAAAAUUAUUAAAAAAAUUUAAUAAUUACAAAAUUAAUAAUAAAAAAUUAUUUUAAUAAAUAAUUAUAUUUUUAAUUUUUUAUAUUAUUUAUAAAUAUUAAAUAAAAAUAAUAGAUACUACUACUCUGAAAUAAAAAUAAUAGAUAUUACUAGACAAUCGAUUAUUUACAUUAAACCUUCACUUUCUUGAAUUAGUUAAAUGAAAUGGAAACUCUUUUAUUAUACACAAAUUGAAAACUCUUUUAAUAUAUACAAAUAUAACCCUCAUGUUAUUUAUUUUCAAUAUAUAUUAUUUAGUUUAUAUAAUUUUUAAAUUUAUAUAAUUUAAUUUUUUUAAUUAGAAUUAAAAUAAAUUGAGUAACAUUUAUUUGAUAUAAUAAUUAAAUAAUUUAAUUUUAUAAAAUAUAUGAUCAUUUUAAUUAUUUAAUUUAAAAAUAAAAUAAAAAUUAAUAAAAUUUAACAGCUUGAUAAUAAUUUUCUUUAUUAUUAAUUUGGACUAUUUAUUGCUAACUAAUCAACUCACUUAACUUAAUUUCAUUUUUUUUAAUAAUAAUAAUAAUAAUAAUCAUUAUUACAUUAAUUAUAUUAAUCAUAGAAUUCAACUAAAUACUAUGUAAAUAAGAAUAUGUAGAUCCUACGUAAGCAAGAAUAGCGGACCCACACACCAUAUAAGAAACUUACCAUAUUUAUCAAGAUUGCCUGGUGGCAAGAAACGUGUGGGUUUUCAGCAAAUUUCAGUUGCUUCCAAGAGUUGGUGUUCCAUACAAAGUAAAUCGGAUCACAGUCAAUCAGGUGGAGGUUAGCAUUGACCAGGUUAUAGAUAACAAUCGCUGGUCGAUAGCUUGGGAUAGGGUGUUCACAAAAUCCAACCAAUCAAAUAAAUUUAAAUUAAUAAAUUUCAUUAAAUAAUUAUUUUGAAUUGAUUUUUAGAUGUUUUAUAAAAAUUUAUAAAAAUUUUUUAUUAGUUAAUUAAUAAAUAAUUAUUUUAUAUUUAAUUAUAUAUUUUAAUUUUAACUUUACAUUUUCUUGUUUAAUUUGUAUGUUUGGUUUAAAUAUAAUACUAAUUAGUUUCUUUUUAUUUUUAUUAUUAUUAAGAAUAUAAUAUCUCAAAUAUAUUAUUUUUAUUUUUUAAUUUCUAAAAAAAUAAAAUUAGCCAUAUUUUAUAAAUACAUUAUUUUAUUUUUUUACAAUUAUUUCAGAUGUAAUAAUUUUUUAACUGUUAUAAAAUUAAAAUUAAUCAAAUUUCUAAAAAGUUAAAUUUAGUGAUAAAAUUAAAAAUAUAAGACCAUUAUUUUAUAUAUAAUAAUAUUAAAUAUAAUUUUUUUUAAUUCGAACAGACGCAGUUAUAACGGCAGAAAUACAAACUGCAUCAUAAUAAAUCAGAUUAUGGGACAUAGAACAUUUCCUUCUAAACUUACUUAUCCCCAAAGAAGUAUAACUUCCUUUAAUACUAUUGCCCUAAAAUUAUAAAAGGUAUACAAUAAAAAAAUUAUAACGCUAAAACAACAAUACUAAGAAUAUGAUACAUAUAUAAUAAUCAAUUACUACAUGAUGCUUUUAACAUUUCAAGUGUAUUCACAUGCUUUACCCUUUCAACGAUGUGGGAUUCAACACACCCCCUCACGCCCAGAAUUUUACUGGUGCGUGACACAUUUAUGGGAGGCCCAACAUCGGAUGGGGAGGCUCUGAUACCAUGUUAAAUUUGGGCCAGGCCUAACUCACCCCAAAAGCUAGCUUAAGGGGGAGGAUUGCCUAUGACUCAUAUAAGGGGCACAUUACCCCUUUCCACAACCGAUGUGGGAUUCAACAGUAAUGUUGAAAGGAUGAAAAAUAGCAAAUAAUAGAACGAGAAACACUAUGUUCACAGUUUAAAUAAAAUACUUGGAUUUUUACUGUGUAGUUUGGUGUAAGAAACUACAUACAAGUAAUCCUAUAUAUAUAGAAAAGGAGAGAGGAGGAAGGGAAGUAUAAUGUCCAUUUACACAUAUUAUCCUAUAUAUGUAGGGGAGGAGAGAGGAGGAAGGAAAGCAUAAUGUGCAUUUACACAUGUUUCAAGAAUAAAUUAAUAAAAUAUUAUUUUUUAGAAGUUUUUAAGAUAAUUUAGACGGCAAGAGGUAUAAAAACAUAUAUUACUUAUGUUUAGAGGAGAUUCGGUAAUAACAAAAAAGAUCAUGCAUGUUUGGUUUCUAGACUUCAGAGGCAUCAUGUUUGUGCGAAUAUAAAUUUCACGCGUUUUGUAUGUAAUAACUACCCAUCACAUCACAUGCAUUACUAAUCGGUCCUUAUUUUUAGCUUAAGCACGCUUUUGAAGUUGCGAUUUAGACUUCUUAUAUCAAUGUUAAUUAGUAUUUUAUUUUUCUUUUAUUUUUUAAGAAAUUAGAGAGAAAGAAUUUUAUUUUUUAUUUUUUAAUUUUACAUACGAAUAAAUCGUAAAUUAAUAAAAUAUUAUUAUUUUUAUAGAAAUUUUUAAGAUUAAUCGGGUGGUAAGGGAGGUAUAAAAAGCAUAUAUUACUUAUUUUUAGAGGAGGUUUGGCAAUAAUAAGAAAGAUUGUGCAUGCUUAGUUCCUGAAGUACGGAGACAUUAUAUUUGUGUGAAUUUGAAUUUCACGUGUUUUGACUGUAAUAACAAUCUAUAACUAUAUACAUUUUAAAUCGGUUGAACCCUCAAAAUUGAUUCCCAAUUAAUUUAUAUAAACAGUAUCACGUGUUUUGUCCGUGAUAACAAUCCAUCACCAUGCAUUACACUAUUUUUAGUGUAUUCCCAAUAUAAGUUAAUUAAACACUAUUUUAAUUAGAGAUAUGUAAACAAAAUGUUAAAAGAAUUAAUAAAAGAAUUGUUAAUUAAAAAUAAAUAAAUAAAUAAUAUAUCAGUGAGCCUGAGUGAUAUUUUCAAAAAUUUUUAAAAAAUAACAAGUUAAUGAAAUGUUUUUCUUAUUUCUCAUUGUAUUUUAAUAACAUAAUAUCAAUUAUUUUACCAAAAUAAUUAAUCUUAUAUUAAGCAAAUAAUGGCAGUCGUGCCAACAACUCUUCAUGAUUUUCACACACUAUCUGGCUUCUAAGGGAGGGCAGCUUUAGUUUCAAAUAUGUACUUUAGGAAUCAAGGACGGAGCCAGCGUGGACAAGGGCCUCUAGGUGCCUGAAAAUUUUUAAAUUAUGUAGAGUUAUUUAACUAAUUUUAUUUAUAAUAUAAAAAUUAUCAUGAAAUUUUUUGUAUAUUUAAAAAAUUUAUUAAUUAAUUUUUAUUUUAAAAUUACUUAAUUAAAAUAUUUUAUAUUUUAUAAAAUUAAAUUAUUUAAUCUUUUUAUCAACUAAUAUUAUUUAGUUCAUUUAAUUUUAGUUAUUCAUUUUAUUUUGUUUCUCUCAUUCUCUAUUUUUUCAAUUUAAAAAAUUAACUUUUCAUCUUUUAAAAUUUCAAUUAUAAUAUAUAAAUUUUUUAAAAAUUAUUUAACAUUGUGUAAUUUAAUUUUAUAUACUAUUUUUAUUAUUAAAAAAUAAUUAUUUCACUUAAUUAAUUUCUAAUUUAUUUAUAUAAUUGAAAUUAUUUGUUAAAUUAUUUAAAUUUAGAGAAAUAAAUUUUAAAUUUUUAUAAAUAAAAGUAUUUUAUGAAUAAUAUUUUAUUAAUUAAUAAUUUUUUGGACUAUUUAAAUUUUAAAAAUAUAAAUAUAAUGAAAAAUAGGUUAGAUAAUUUAAAUUUAAAAAUACUUAAAUAUAAAUUAAGUAUUAUUUUCAUAGAUAAUAGAUUAAAUUAUUUAAAUUUAGGAGAAAGGAAAUGAGAAUAUUGUCGCAUUAGUUAAUGGGUUAGAUAAUUUAAUUUAAAAAAAAUAAAUUUUAUAAUAAUGACAUUUUAAUCAGAGAAGAACAAGAAAACCACUUUACCUUGUGAUUCAGUUCCAUUACUUACCUUUAUUUUGUAUUCUUUACUAUUUUGCUCAGCCCUCUUGAAGAUUAUCUUUCUAUUUUCAGCAUUUUUAUCCUUUUUUACCUUUGGUUCUGAUUCUUCAACAAUGACCAUUCCUGGCUUCUCUUCCUUUUCUUUAGCACAGAUUUAGAGAUUAUAGCCGCUGCUUUGAUUUCUUCAACAAUUUCUAAUCAUAAAGAAACAUUCAAUGUAUCAUACAAGAACAUUAUGAAUUUAAACUUUAUUAAAGACUCAAAUAACCAUUUGCUCCUUUUCUAAAAAGAAGAGCAACUGUAAUCAUAGUUAAAACUGGACAAAACCAUAGAGAAAGCAACCUUAAUGAAGGUGUAAUAUUAUCCAUAUAGCAAACGUUCAACUAUACCGAUUUUACAAGAAAAUUCAAAUCAUAUAAACUAUCAAUUCGAGUUUUAUUCUUCCUAUCAUUUUAGGAACUGUUGGUGAUAUUUAAGAAUUAAUAAAAUCUUUUUCUCUUAUUCAAUAAAAAAUUCUUAGCAUGAUAAUUUUUUCUAUAUUAAUUCUUUAAGUCAGUAUAAUUAUUUUUUUUCUCUCUUUCUUCAAAAAAAUAGUUAAGUUUUUUGCCUUUAUAAAAAAAAAUGCACCAUAAAUCGAUAGCGAAAAUGCAAUAUUAUGUAGAUUUAAAAUAUUAAAUAUUUUUUAAUAUUUAAAAAUAUAAAAUUAUUUUUAUUAUUAAAAAUAAUAUUUAUUGGGUUGCUAUUUGUUUAUAAUAAUUAAAUGCAAAGUUUAAGAUUUUAUUUGAUAAAAUGGUAAAACUAAAUUUAUUUAAACAUUGGUGAAAACUUGAGUGAUUUAUUUAGUCUUUUAGUUCAUAAUUUAAUUUAUAGAUGUUAAAAAAAUAUAUAUAUUUCUGUUAGAUGUGGAAAAUUUACUAAAUUUUUAUGUUUUGAUUUAAUUUAAUGAUUAAAAUAUUUAUAAUUCUUAUAGAUUAAUUGACAAAUUUUGAGGAUAUAUAUAAUAUUAAUUAAUUAGUAUUUUUGCGUUAAUUUACUAAAUUUUAUUUUUUCACUUAAAACUUUUUAAAUUUCUAUUUAAUUCUCAUAAAAUAUUUUAAAUAGAAAAUUUAUGUAAAAUAAAUAAAAAAUUUAUAAUAUAUUUUCUCUCGUAUCUAUGGGUUUGAGAUAAUAAAGAUUUUUCAAACUCUAUAUUUUCUCUCAACCAAUGAAUCUUCAUAUUUCAAGUUAACAAUAAUUAAUGAAAAAAAAUCCAGAUUACGCACCUAUAGAAAAUAGAACAAUAAAUAAAAUAAAAUCUAGAUUGAAUAUCAAAUUCUGCGAAUAAUCAAUGAGAUGGAGAAUAGGAUUUAAAAGGCUUGAUAACUUUGCAAACAGGACUUGCAAUACUCGCAUGGACUUGAGUCACACCACAAAGUGAUUUCGAGUUGACCACAGAAGCCAUCGAAUUGAUGCGUCUGCGACUCGAUGAUAAAGGCUUAAUGGCGUUGUGACUUGACGAUAGGGGCUCAAUGGCACUGCAACUCGACGACUUAGGCUCGAUGAAAUAGAGAAUAGGAUUUGCAAGUAAAUGUGGGUGUGGUCGCACAAAGGUGUUGUGGGCCGCGAGUGGGCUUAUUCUGAAACUUGGAAGAAGAAGAAGAAUAUAGUGAAUGUUUAGGGGUUUUUAGAUUUUAGGUUUGAGACUAGGCUGGGCUAGAGUUUUAAUUUUAUAGUUUGGGUGAAUGAUGGAUAAAUUUAAGAGAUAGGUUUUUUUACUUUUUUGUUUUAUCAUAUUUUUAAUAUAAAUAAAUCGAAUUAAAUAAAAAAUUAAAACCAAAAUAUAUUAACCGAAUCAAAUUGAUUUGAAAUUCUCAAAAUUCAUUAACCGAAUCAUAUGAAUGAAUCGGUUCAGUUAUGUUUUUGGAUUAUAGUCGAAAAGUGCACACCUCUGGAAAUGGAAGAGCGAGAUAGCUACCAAAAGAGCUGUUCAAACAAAUUAUGGCAUGGUCCAAUUUAGCUCUACAUGACCCAUUCAUUAAUAAUACAGCAAUCCACAAGCUACUUAUUAGGGAGUCAGUAAGGAUGACAGUUGAACUUGGUGUCCCCACAUUGGAGAGGGGCAUAAAACAACAGUAAGUGGUUACACAAGUGAAGUGAAAUCAAAUUAUAUGCCAUCUAAUUCCACAAAUACAAACUAAAACUUGAAAAAGAAGCGAUCUCACUCGUACAACAAUACAUCAUUCCGCUACAUGAACAAUAGCCAAACCAAUGCUUCCAAACACCCAGCUAAAAAGGUUCCCCAAUAUUGCAAAUCUUAAUUUGGAGCUUGGACUCAAGUGGUCCCAACUUGUACUCAACUGAUCUAUUGAAACUUGGUUCUAUGAAACUCGUUUCUCAGUUGUCAAGCUACUACUGCUACUCCCACCCACAUGGUUUGUUUCCCUUACUCUGGCUGCCAAAGCAAGAACUUCAGGUGACAUGUCCCAGCUUCCACUUUUUCUUCCCCAGCUAGAUCUUCUUGGAUGUAUUCCACCAUGGUCCCCUUCCUGCACUGCAGUCCUCACUUCCGGGGAUAAUUCACUUAAAUUACCAUCCUUUAUGUUCAAGUGAUCAUUGUUUGUG